Molecule: non-coding RNA, 47 nt
Organism: Ictidomys tridecemlineatus (thirteen-lined ground squirrel)
Lineage: Eukaryota; Metazoa; Chordata; Mammalia; Rodentia; Sciuridae
Source: Rfam
CAAAAGGAUCUUCUAAAAUCCACCAAAGAGAAGGGAAAAAAAAACAU